CUAUUGCAGUCGAGCGACAGAUGAGAAGCUUGCUUCUCUGAUGUUAGCGGCGGACGGGUGAGUAACACGUGGAUAACCUACCUAUAAGACUGGGAUAACUUCGGGAAACCGGAGCUAAUACCGGAUAAUAUAUUGAACCGCAUGGUUCAAUAGUGAAAGAUGGUCUUGCUAUCACUUAUAGAUGGAUCCGCGCUGCAUUAGCUAGUUGGUAAGGUAACGGCUUACCAAGGCAACGAUGCAUAGCCGACCUGAGAGGGUGAUCGGCCACACUGGAACUGAGACACGGUCCAGACUCCUACGGGAGGCAGCAGUAGGGAAUCUUCCGCAAUGGGCGAAAGCCUGACGGAGCAACGCCGCGUGAGUGAUGAAGGUCUUCGGAUCGUAAAACUCUGUUAUUAGGGAAGAACAUAUGUGUAAGUAACUGUGCACAUCUUGACGGUACCUAAUCAGAAAGCCACGGCUAACUACGUGCCAGCAGCCGCGGUAAUACGUAGGUGGCAAGCGUUAUCCGGAAUUAUUGGGCGUAAAGCGCGCGUAGGCGGUUUUUUAAGUCUGAUGUGAAAGCCCACGGCUCAACCGUGGAGGGUCAUUGGAAACUGGAAAACUUGAGUGCAGAAGAGGAAAGUGGAAUUCCAUGUGUAGCGGUGAAAUGCGCAGAGAUAUGGAGGAACACCAGUGGCGAAGGCGACUUUCUGGUCUGUAACUGACGCUGAUGUGCGAAAGCGUGGGGAUCAAACAGGAUUAGAUACCCUGGUAGUCCACGCCGUAAACGAUGAGUGCUAAGUGUUGGGGUUUCCGCCCCUUAGUGCUGCAGCUAACGCAUUAAGCACUCCGCCUGGGGAGUACGACGCAAGGUUGAAACUCAAAGGAAUUGACGGGGACCCGCACAAGCGGUGGAGCAUGUGGUUUAAUUCGAAGCAACGCGAAACCUUACCAAAUCUUGACAUCCUUUGACAACUCUAGAGAUAGAGCUCCCCUUCGGGGGACAAAGUGACGGUGCAUCGUCAGCUCUGUCGAGAUGUUGGGAGUCCCCAGAGCACAAGCAUU
Molecule: ribosomal RNA, 1047 nt
Filed under: Staphylococcus simiae
Lineage: Bacteria; Bacillati; Bacillota; Bacilli; Caryophanales; Staphylococcaceae
Description: bacterial SSU rRNA
Rfam family: Bacterial small subunit ribosomal RNA
Source: RNAcentral